This 65-nucleotide transfer RNA is filed under the name Drieschia cf. elegans BG-2021. RNAcentral's name for it is "tRNA-Leu". The record is from RNAcentral. Lineage: Eukaryota; Metazoa; Annelida; Polychaeta; Phyllodocida; Polynoidae.
AACAUGUUGGCAGACAAAUGUACCUGAUUUAGGCUCAGUUAAUGGGGAAGCUUCCUCACAUGUUA